RNAcentral lists this ribosomal RNA (252 nucleotides) under uncultured bacterium. Its description in RNAcentral is "partial 16S ribosomal RNA". It matches the Rfam family "Bacterial small subunit ribosomal RNA", at positions 524 to 776 of the family's 1533-position model. The record is from RNAcentral.
GACGUAGGGUGCAAGCGUUGUCCGGAUUUACUGGGCGUAAAGAGCGCGUAGGCGGUUCAUUAAGUGUGAAGCUAAAUCUCCCGGCUUAACCGGGAACUAUUUCGCAUACUGAUGGGCUGGAGUGAUGCAGAGGUGGAUAGAAUUCCCGGUGUAGCGGUGAAAUGCGUUGAUAUCGGGAGGAAUACCCGUGGCGAAGGCGGUCCACUGGGCAUCAACUGACGCUGAGGCGCGAAAGCGUGGGUAGCAAACAGG